CUGGAGUCAGUUUGAAAACUGUUCAGAGGAAGGUCUGAAAUCAGAUUUACAUCCAGAUACCUUGACUCCAUUUUCAAGCAUUAGAACUGGAGUAUUUACAGACAGGAAACUCCAACCCUUCAAGAUUUAACAGAGUCACUCGAUUCAUCAGGACCUGAAUUCCAUCGGACUUCGAAUGUGGAAAGAGAAAAGUUUGUCUACUCUGCAGGAUGAUUUCAAACAUCAGUGUGACUGGAAAAGUGCUGGUGUGAGUGCCCCAGGGAACUGAAUGUGGAAAGAGCUUUAAUCAGUUACACAGCCUGAAAAAACAUCACAUCGUUCACAGCGGGGAGAAACCGUACACGUGUUCUGUGUGUGAACAAAGCUUUACUGAUCAUCCAACCUGGAGAGACACGUGGAUAGCCGCACCAUGGAGAAACCGUGGAAAUGUGGGGACUGUGGAAAGGGCUUCAGAUCCCCAUCUGUGCUGGAAAUUCAUCGACGUAGUCACACCAGGGAGAGACCAUUCACCUGCUCCGUAUGUGGGAAGGGAUUCACUCAGUUAUCCAGCUUACAUACCCACCAGCGAAUUCAUACUGGGGAGAAACCAUUUAAAUGCUCUCACUGCGGAACUGGGUUCAGGCGAUCAUCUCAACUCACUGCGCACCAGCAAGUUCACACUGGGGAGAGACCGUUCAUUUGCUCUGAGUGUGGGAAGGGAUUCAUUCAGUCAUCCCACCUGAUGACACACCAGUACACUCACACUGGGGAGAGGCCAUUCAUCUGCUCUGAGUGUGGGAAGGGAUUUGCUCAGUCAUUCACACUGAUGAUACAUCAGCGCACUCACACUGGGGAGAAGCCAUACACCUGCUCCGAGUGUGGGAAGGGAUUCCAUGUGUCAAGCACCCUGCGGACCCACCAGCGAUUUCACACUGGGGAGAGGCCGUUCACCUGCCCCGAGUGUGGAAAGAGAUUCAUUUGGUCAUCUCAUUUGCACAGACACCAACGCACUCACAGUGGGGAGAGGCCAUUCACCUGCUCUGAGUGUGGGAAGGGAUUUACUCAGUCACACCACCUGCGGAGACACCAGCGAGUUCACGAGUAACUGCAGGGGUUGGAUUCUGCUGUUUCUGCUGCUGUUAAUCACAUCCGGGGCUGAACGUGUGGUUUAAUCCUGAGGUGUGUGAGAAAUGUGUCCCAGCCGCUCUCUCCCAUGGUUCUGACAUCCUAGACAUAGAACAAAAGGCUUCUUUACAACUAUACUUAGAAUCAGGAAGAACAACGGUGAAUGCUGGAAACGUGCUGUAAAAUCGGAGAUUGGUGGAAAAUUGUGAUCUGUUCCUGAGUGAAAGUGAAACAGCAGGUUUAAGUUUCCAACUUAACUCUCCGAACGCAUUCCUGGCCAGCCUCACACAGUCAACCUCCCUGUGAUCUUGAGAUCGUUCAAAACUCUGCUGUCCAUGUACUUACUACUCCAAGUCUUGUUCACUCAUCACCCCUGUGCUCACUGAACUACAAA
This is an RNA transcript of Carcharodon carcharias (great white shark), 1498 nucleotides long. It is a transcript of the gene named zinc finger protein 239-like, with no coding region annotated. The record is from RefSeq and is a predicted model, not a curated record. The transcript is spliced from 3 exons. NCBI's taxonomy places the organism in Eukaryota, Metazoa, Chordata, Chondrichthyes, Lamniformes, Lamnidae.